CCCUUAGAUGUUCUGGGCUGCACGCGCGCUACACUGAAGCGUUCAACGAGUAUUCACCUUGCCCGGGAGGGUUGGGUAAUCUCCAAAUUUCGUCGUGAUGGGGAUAGAUUAUUGCAAUUAUUAAUCUUCAACGAGGAAUGCCUAGUAAGCGCAAGUCAUCAGCUUGCGUUGAUUACGUCCCUGCCCUUUGUACACACCGCCCGUCGCUCCUACCGAUUGAAUGGUCCGGUGAAGCGUUCGGACCGUGGCCUUUGGACGGUUCGCCGUCUGUUGGCUGCGGGAAGUUCGUUAAACCUUAUCAUUUAGAGGAAGGAGAAGUCGUAACA
This 326-nucleotide ribosomal RNA is filed under the name uncultured eukaryote. RNAcentral describes it as "partial 18S ribosomal RNA". It matches the Rfam family "Eukaryotic small subunit ribosomal RNA", at positions 1470 to 1796 of the family's 1831-position model. The record is from RNAcentral.